GACGAACGCUGGCGGCGUGCUUAACACAUGCAAGUCGAACGGUGAACCACUUCGGUGGGGAUCAGUGGCGAACGGGUGAGUAACACGUGGGCAACCUGCCCCUAGCACUGGGAUAACCCCGGGAAACCGGGGCUAAUACCGGAUAUGACCUCGAGCGGCAUCACUCGCGGUGGAAAGAUUUAUCGGCUAGGGAUGGGCCCGCGGCCUAUCAGCUUGUUGGUGGGGUAACGGCCUACCAAGGCGACGACGGGUAGCCGGCCUGAGAGGGCGACCGGCC
Molecule: ribosomal RNA, 277 nt
Filed under: uncultured bacterium
Lineage: Bacteria
Description: partial 16S ribosomal RNA
Rfam family: Bacterial small subunit ribosomal RNA
Source: RNAcentral